Molecule: ribosomal RNA, 660 nt
Filed under: Phyllactinia broussonetiae-kaempferi
Lineage: Eukaryota; Fungi; Ascomycota; Leotiomycetes; Helotiales; Erysiphaceae
Description: partial large subunit ribosomal RNA
Rfam family: Eukaryotic large subunit ribosomal RNA
Source: RNAcentral
UUGACCUCGAAUCAGGUAGGGAUACCCGCUGAACUUAAGCAUAUCAAUAAGCGGAGGAAAAGAAACCAACCGGGAUUACCCUAGUAACGGCGAGUGAAGCGGUAACAGCUCAAAUUUGAAAUCUGGCUCCCUGCGGAGUCCGAGUUGUAAUUUGUAGAAGAUGCUUUGGGUGCUUGGCCCGGCCUAAGUUCCUUGGAACAGGACGUCGUAGAGGGUGAGAAUCCCGUAUGCGGCCAGUGUCCGGCGCCCGUGUAAAGCUCUUUCGACGAGUCGAGUUGUUUGGGAAUGCAGCUCAAAAUGGGUGGUAAAUUUCAUCUAAAGCUAAAUAUGGGCCAGAGACCGAUAGCGCACAAGUAGAGUGAUCGAAAGAUGAAAAGCACUUUGGAAAGAGAGUUAAACAGUACGUGAAAUUGUUGAAAGGGAAGCGCUUGCAACCAGACUUGGGCGUCGCUGAUCAUCCAAAGACACUCUUUGGUGCACUCGACGACGCACAGGCCAGCAUCGGUUGGAGUGGUGGGAGAAAGGUUGCCGGAACGUGGCUCUUUUCGGAGAGUGUUAUAGCCGGCGACGCAAUACCGCCUACCCCGACCGAGGACCGCGCUUUGGCUAGGAUGCUGGCGUAAUGGUUGUAAGCGACCCGUCUUGAAACACGGACCAAGG